UGGAUGUUUCUUGGCAUCGAUUCAACAACAUGGACCUAGCAACAAUGAGUCACGGUAGCAAACUGGUUCCGGAGAGAAUUAGUGUAAUGCAUUUCUAUUUUUCUGCAGUUGUUCACAGAUCUAUUUCUCUCCUCUUAAUUGUGAAUAACAUGCCAAAUUCGCCUUUAAUAGUAGAUAUUUAGAUAGUUUGGUGUAAAAGGACCCAUUGCACUCAUUUUUUGCAGCCAUAUAAUCGGUCCAUAUACAUGUUCUAGACCGUACAAACUAGCAUGGUGGUACUGCGAGAGUAGUUCUAAGAUAUCUUUGGGUCACCACAGCCGACCAAAAAUAUGGUGUUGAUUUUUUUUUAUUGUUGAUGUGUUAUAGAAGUGAGUUGUUUUGUUACUUCUGAGUAUCGCUGUGCUUUGUUAACUUUUGCUUCACAAUGAUGACAUGUGUGUUCAAUUUAUAAUUUAAUCUUUAAGCAAGAGGUGGAAAUUGAUCUGAGAUUCAGGAUUAUGCACCUGAUUAUUUAUACCUGUCCGAUCAUUCAUCGUCGUGUAUACCCACAUUUCGUUCCAUAUCAGAUUAUCCCUACGGGUUUGAGUAAUAUUUCUCAGAAUUGUGGUCGGGUUUAUAUGAGCAAGCUCAAGUUGCAGUGACUUAAACGCAGGUAAGAUACUAUCAAACAUUUUCUCUUCCAUUCCCAUUUAUUAUAAGGGCACUUUGGAAGUGAAUACAAUAAUUAUAUCUUCAACCUAGAAACAUUCCCAGUAAUUAUAUGUUGUCCUAUGAAAGUGUGUAUACAAUCAUCACAUAUCCAAUCUAGGAAUACGGUAUACAAAGUAUUCCUAGGCAUUAAUACAUGGCAUCUCCAGUCUAGGAACAUGGCGUACAAAGUAUUCUAGGGCGCUAAUACAUGGUAUAUGAUAGAUAAGUCAUUUUGUUUUAGCGUAUUUAUCAUUGUUGCAUGUGUCAUUUUUAUCCGAGAACUAUUUAGGUGUAAUUAAAUAAAGUGAGUUAGUAUCUCGUUCCCUAUUUCAGGUAUCAAAUUUUCCUUCACUACCGGUGCUACCCUGUAGUAAUUUGGCUAAAGGUUCCAAAAUUGGCAUGUCAGGCUGCCUCUCUAACAUGUUCAAAACUUAUUUUUUAAUAUAAGCUUGUUUAUAACUUUGUCUUGAAAUCUCUAAGCAUGGUCGAUACACUUAUGUUUACAUUUUAAAGUUCUUCCUAAACCCUUCAUCCCCGCUGAGGCAUGGGUUGACGUGAAGCAUGAGGCAAAUUUGAUUGCUCUUUAAUAAUACAGAUUACUUAGUGUGGGUUGCAAGGAUAUAUCACAAGUCCUCCUUGAUUACAUAUAUUAAUGUUUCCCCUUCACGUGUAUCAUGUCUUGUAGCAAACAACAAGAGCUCUGUAACAAUUCUUUGCAGUUGGAAGAAAUGCACACACAAGAAAGAAGGUAUUGCAAGCGAGGUGCGCAUAUGAAGAUUGGACAGAGAAGUAGUGAAGAAAGAUGAGCACAAUUUUUUCUUCAAAAAGAAGAAGAUGGAGACUAUCAUCAAACUUUUACCUAUUUGUGUUUCUGGUGGGAUGUACAUGCGGAGAAAUGGAAAUAGUCGUAUCCAAGAAUGGAGCAAAGUGGGAGAAAUACAUCGGAGUGUGUGAACAUUUUUUUUAUAGAAAGACCAAUUGGUUCAAUACUUGGUCCCGAAACUUCACUCUAUGAUUUUGUAAAUAAAUGACAUGGCAUCCAAUUAAGAGCAGUCUUGCUUUGUUUAAAAAAAAACCGGAGCAGUCUUACUAAUUACCGAAACCAUAUGAAUGGAAGUGUCGGACACAAACAUAUGAGAUAACGAGAAAACAAAUUGAGAACGCUGCUGAUUAAAUACUAAUGAAAAACAAGGCAUGGAAGAAGGCACUUGAUCAUCUGGAUGGGUAGAAGAUUAGAAAUUGGAAGAAUUGUUGCUGCUUACAACUCACAAACAAAAAUUUGAGUUCCUCUUUUCAGAUCCAAUCAACAAAAGGAAACAGACUGUGAGACAGAGAGAAGUACGAGGACGACCUUCACGAACUAAGGAACAAUCAGAAGAAUCGUAUAAAAGAGGAGAUUUGAUUUGAAGAGCAGGACGCUAGAUUGGAAUUUGGAAACAUGUACUAUGUUCUUCCGCUAAUCUCGCCAACAGCCAAAAUCGCAAUUAGACGAAGCAAGUGCUCCGCCGUUAAUCUAGCUGAAUCGUUACCAAAUCGAGGGCAAGAAGGGAUAGAGGCCGAGGAGAAUGUGUGUUCCGUAUGCUGCUUUGCUGCCUGCGGCAAGCCACAAUAACUGAUCGAUCUGUAUUCUGUACAUGGGCUAAACAUCCCACGCAUCGGGGGCCCCUUCGUGCUCGGGGGCCCGGGGCGGCCGCCCCUUCCGCCCCCCCUCAGGGCCGGCCCUGAGUGGACCGAGAAUAAAGAGGACGAAGGAAUAGCAAAGUUUGUCUUGUUGGUUAGCUGUCAGGACAAAUACAACGAAAGAAACAUUGUUAUGUUGUCCCGUGACAACGCACGGGUAUUUAACUAGUGGAAAGAUAAUUGGAUCCCGCGGAAUGAGAUGAUGACGCCCUACGGAUGUUUAGCCAACAAUCCGCCAUUAAUGGUGACGCUAUGUCCGCAGCUUGGAACUUUCAGCGACUUCGGGAGGUAUUUCUGCACAUUCAUAUACCAUCGAUAUUGAGCAUUCCUCUUUGUACGAGGAAUAUACAUGAUACAUGGGCAUGGAACUUUGAAAGGAAAGUCAUCUUCUCGGUUAGAUUCGCUUACAGAAUGCUGAGAACUAUCAAGCAGAGGAGAGAGGCAUGGCUGGAGGGGACAACUGGAGCAUCAAACACAAAUUGUGAAUCGGAAUCCAGGAAGAAGCAAUGGAAUGUUCAAGUACCAGGGAAAAUUAGAAUGUUCUUGUUGUUGUUGCCGCGGCCUCCUCCCGUGCUGCCCACUGCGCCGCCGUCAGCAGCAGCUGUUCGCCGCCACGCUCGCCGCCGUCUUGUCCACGACGCUGAACCCGCUCGUCAAAUGCGCGCAGCCGUCCGAAUGCCUCGUCGAACGCCAUGGUCGUCACAUCGCAAAACUGCUCGAUGCCGGCGACGACGGGGAACAGCCGAUCCGGGACGAUGUCCAACAGCUUCUUCACGAGCACCGCGUCGCCCAACGUCUCUCCUAGGCUCGCGAACCGCGCCGUCAUCCCUGCCAGCCUCCCGGCGUACGCGUCCAGCGCCUCGCCGUCCGUCAUCUUCAGGCGGUCAAAGUCCCCGCGCAGCGUCGCCAACCUCGCCGUGCGGACACGAUCGGCGCCGACGAACCUCACCUUCAAGGAGUCCCAUACCUCUUUGGCGGUGAGCUUCGUCGCCACCUGCAGCAGCACGUCCUCCGGCAGCGUUCCAAGGAGCAUCACGCGCGCUGCCUUGUCCUUCUUGGUGUUCACCACCGCGUCGCCCGGUGCCACCGCCUCCCAUACGGUGUGGACGUCGAGGAUCGCCUGCGCCCUGAUCGCCCACACCGUGUAGUUGUCCGACGUGAGCAUCGGCAUCGCCAUCAACACCGAUCCGCUCGCGCCGCCGCCGUGUGGGACGAGCGCCAUGAUCCCCGAUGAUCUCUUGAACCGAAGCUCUCUAUACCAAUUGUUGUUGCCGCGGCCUUCUCCCUCCUCAUCGGAGCUCUACCCCUCUCACUCUAUAUGCUUGUGAAAGAAGAAGGGCACAAAGACAAGAAGUAUUUUCCUGGCGCCCCACUCGCCGCACGAACGGCGUAUUGUUUUCCCUUAAGCACCAACUCCCUGCACAGCGAGCUACAACAAACGGGAUUUGUACACGGGCAUGCAUGCAGCUGGACGCAGCACCCACGCAACGCCCGCUGUCGAGCUCUACGCGCACGUAGCGAUCUCCUGGAGACUCGGCCGCCCGCCGCGCAUGCACGUCAACGGAACGCAGCUGGUUCCAGCGCCUGGCUCGGCCACAUCCCGCGCGUCCGUCUAACCAACUCACACAAGUACACACGCUCGCCAUGAGCCUGACGCGUCUUGCACACGCACGCACGCGCACCCGACGCGGUCGCCGUGGGUUAUUGCCAACACUUGUGGCGCCUGGCCAAACAUUCACUCCCGACAAAUGACGUGCGGGACCAUCAUCACAUGGCAACGUCAAGCGCGUGCGGGUAUGCGGUGCCGAGGACUCCUGUCAGCAUUCGCUGCUUCAGUGCACAAUGUCCAGAUGCAUAUGGGCUUUGGGGGUUGAAGCAAUAGUGGAUCAGCUAACAGCGACAAUGGAACCAAGUGCUAAACAAUGGCUAUUAUCUUUGAUGAACUCAUUAUGACAUGCAGAUUUUGUGAAGGUGGUCACCCUAUGGGCAACUUGGUACACAAGGCGGAGAGCGAUGCAUGAGGGGUGUUUUCAGAGCCCUCACUCGACGCAUGGCUUCAUUGGUAGGUUCGUCUCUGAACUGGAUAUAAUACAGCAAAUCACACCAAGGACAGUCAUGUCAGGGUCUACCCUAGCUCGCUCCCGCUCUACCUCGCGCUCACGACGUGCCUGUGGCUCGAACCAGCAGAAGGAAGGAGGAAGAUGGAGAUAGACACGGUAGACGCUAGGGUUUCUCGGCGCACGAACGCCGCCGCCGCGCGAACGGCUUGCUGUAUUCCUCGAGCUCGAACUCGAUGUCCCAACGCCAUUACAACGAUGCCAGCCACAACUUUAUACCCGAGCCAACGCACACGCACCCACGCCUCCACUCGCUCGCCUCGCGAUCCGCCUGCUCCGUGCGCCCACGACGCGCUCCGCCGCGCCCGGUCCACGCACAGGUUCACGGAUCGCCUCGUGCAGCUCGCCAACAACACCUUCUUACACUCACGCCUACGGUGCAUGUGUGCCCGGACACCCCCGUGCACCACAUGCGUCUACACACGCACACCUACGUCGCGGUCCCGACGUGCCCGACACGUCCUGCACGCGCCCAUACACAUGCUCGACGCGUUCAACUCGUUGCCGCGGCUUAUUACGCGCAACAUUCACCCCCUAAGCCAUGGCCUAGAGGAGCCCGGCGUUCUCGACGUCCAUGUCUGCCCAGUAGAGCUUGCUCCGCCGCCGCCCCCUUCCUCCGCUGAGGGCAUUCCCUCUUGAAGUGGCCGCGCUCGUUGCAGUGGUAGCGGCGUCCGCGUCGGUUCCCACGGACGCUUGACGCUACGCUCUUGCCGUCGUCGUCGUCGUCCCGCGCUCCGCCUUGCCGGCGCUCCCGCGCUCGCCAUUGCUCCACCGUGAGCAUGAGUUGGCCGUCCGCCCUCUCACCACCCGCUUGUCCGCAUCAUCGUAGCCGCUCGUCGAAGGCCUUCAGACGACCCAGCGCCUCCUCGAAGGCCAUGGUGGAGACGUCACAAAACUGUUUAAUUCCGGUUACCGCCGCGUAUAGACGGUCCGGCACGGAGUCGAGCAGCUUCUUCACCAGCACGUCGUCCUCAAACGUCGAUCCGAGCCCCGCGAAGCGUGCCGCCAUGCCACCGAGCUAUGCAAACGAGUCCAGCAUGUCGUCCUCCGCCAUGCGCAAGAGCUCGAACUCUCCCCCGAGAGUGCCUAGCCGCGCCGCCCGGACUCGGUCUGCUCCGACGAACCACGCCUUCAGACUGGCCCAGACCUCUGCCGCCGUCUUCUUGGACGAUACCUGCAGGAGGAGAUCCUAUGCCAGCGCCCCGAGCAGAUACGCCCGCGCCGACUUGUCCUUUUUGGCGAUCACCGCCGCCGUCGUGUCCUCCGGCAGCACCACCGCCGCCUACAGCCCAGCCGCGUCGAGGUUGGCCUCGACCUUGAUUGCCCACGUGGUGUAGUUAUCACCAGUAAGCAUCGGGACUGGCGUUGACAGCGAGGUCCCCGACCCGCCGCCGUAGGGGACGAGUGCCAUCGCCGGCGAGCUUCUCCCUCACCUCUCGCUCUGAUACCAAUUGUCAGGGUCUACCCUAGCUCGCUCCCGCUCUACCUCGCGCUCACGACGUGCCUGUGGCUCGAAUCAGCAAAAGGGAGGAAGAUGGAGAUAGACGUGGUAGACGCUAGGGUUUCCCGGCGCACGAACGUCGCCACCGCGCGAAGGCUUGCUGUAUUCCUCGAGCUCGAACUUGAUGUCCCAACGCCAUUACAACGAUGCCAGCCACGGCUUUAUGCCCGGGCCAGCUCACUGGGAACACACCCACGCCUCCACUCGCUCGCCUCGCGAUCUGCCCGCUGCGCGCGCCAACGACACGCUCCGCCGCGCCCGGUCCAUGCACGGGUUCAUAGAUCGCCUCCCGCGAUCACCGCGCAGCUCGCCAACAGCACCUUCCUACACUCAGGCCUACGGUGCAUGCGUGCCCGGACACCCCCUGCACCACACGCGCCUACACACGCACACCUACGUCGCGGUCCCGACACGCCCGAUACGUCCAGCGCGCGCCCAUACACGUGCUCGACGCGUCCGACUCGUCGCCGCGGCUUAAUACGCGCAACAAGUCACGGGCGUCAAUGGCAACUCCAAACGGUCCAGAGAAGGCCACGACCGAGAGCUCCACCUCAAGGUUUUGCCAAAAUUCAUGUAGACGCCGGCCUAUCCAACACCAGGGGCUCGGCUUCUGCAGUAUGUCAAGAUGAACACGGAAACUACCUGGGGAGUUCUUCUCUUGUUAUGUAUGGCAACCAAAGUGCAGCAACACUUGAAGCUCUCGCAUGACGGGAGGCACUAGCUCUAGUGGAAGAAUUGGGACUGCAAAGAAUCAUCAUAUCAUGGGAUGCCAAACAGGUGGUAGAGGACUUGGAGAGCAACAUCCGAGGCCUCUAGCUAUGUUGCUAUUAUCUCUGAAGUUAGAGCAAGAGCAGAAAAAAUCACUUGUAAUUUUAUUUUCGAGGGUCGUUCAGUUAAUUUAGAAGCUCACAAACUAGCUAGAUAUUCCCUUUCAUUAGAUCAGGGGCACUACAUGUGGCUCAUUCAACCCCAUGAUGCAAAUUGUAUCCCACUUUCUGUGGAUUACGAUGAAUAAAGCUCUGCCUACCCCUAAAGAAAUGAUAGGCAAGGAAGUGUGUGCUCACAACUCACAAGAUCCCCUGUCGUGCCCGGCCUCCUCUGCAAAAUCUACUCUUGCUCUCAAGGUGGGAUAUGCCCUCUCGUCCGCAUGGAAUCUCUCCUCAUCCUGCCUUGUCUGUAGGGUGUGGAUCGCUUGACCGGACGGCUUCCUUUCGAUGCCCCGACGCGAACGACGACAAGGAUGCGUCUUGGUCCUCCAUGGAAGAUAUGAAUCUCACAUCUUUGCUUCCUGAUGCCUGCAGUAUCUCUCUCUCUCUUUUUCUGAGCAUACAGUGGGAUCGUUAGUCCGCUGCAAUGUGCACUGGGGGCCGGUCCUGAAAUUUGAUGGGCCUAUGGCGGUUCAGGAAAUUAGUGGAUUUUAUUCAAACAAAGUUUUGGUGUAAUGGAAUAUAAUAGAGUUAGGCGUUUUGGAGCUCGGGCUGCAUGGAGCCCUCUUUCUGAAAACCCUAAAAUUCAUCAAAAUUCGUAUUUUUAUAUUUCAAAAAAAUCUAAAAAUAAAUAUGGAUAUACAUGGAGACAUAGCACACAUGUGUGUAAAUUUUUAGAAAAAAAUACGUUGAAACGAGAUCUAUUCAAAAAAGAGAAAUUUGUGGCAUUUUAACACAUGAUACUAUUCAUCCCAAAAGUUCAUGAAUUUGUUUUUUUUUUUGCACAGAUUGCAUAUUAAUAUAUCUCAUCCUAAAUUUUUGCACACAUAUACAUUUCAUCCUUGUGUAUCUGCAUAUUCGUUUUCAGAUUUUCUUUGAAACAGAAAAUUUGAAUUUUGAAUGUUUCAAAAAGAAAGGGUGCCAUGGAGCCCGAGCUCCAAAUGGCAUUUUUGAAUAUAAUAUCAGUACAAUUUUUCAAGAGUCAAAGUUCUUAUAUUCUUUGAAAACAUGAGAGUCUACGUUUUUGGUCCAUCAAAAUCCAAAUAGUAACGUUUUGCAUAGAUAAGCCCACCUUAGGAAUAUGCAGGGACGAAUUUAGGGGGGGGGGGGGGCUGGACUCCCCCUAACAAAUUGAUUCUUCUAUUAUAAUUAUGGUUAUUGCAGCCAAUUUUUUUACUUCAUAUGAACUUUGUUCCCUCCAUGAACAAACUUGCUCCCUCUAUGCAUGAAUGCUGGCUCCGUCCCUGAAAAUAUGAAAACCUAAACUAUUCGUACUGAGGCCAGUCCGAAUUGAAAAUGAACGCCUCGGCAAAACCGGGAUGAGAAACAAAAAGAAAUAUCUAUAAUGACGCAUGCACACCUCGCCAAAAUUUUACAGAAAUAAAUGAUUUGUCAUCCUAUACGGAAAGGGAGACCUAGCUAUUAAGAUUGACAGCAUUCAAUCGUGUUGUGAUUGUGUAAACACUGAGGCCACAGUCGACGAGAGUGAAAAAAAAGAAUAACUAGAAACACAGAUGAGAUGCCAUGUAAACAAGAAGCUAUUGAAGUCUUGAGUCGUGCCUAUUAGGUUCGGCAGUGUGCUUUCAUUCGCUAGUAUAGUAUCAUAACACGAUUGGAUAAUCAGUCUUUUGCCCGACCGGUCGUAGACCUUUCAUAAGAAAAAAAUGUCUUUUAGUUGAGCCACAGCCAGAUUAGCGUUACAAGGUAACCGGAAUAACACCCCAUUGCACGAAAUGACACUUUUGACAACAAGAGCCUUGCUAGCAGCUGCAUUUGGCAUGCACCAACGGUCAUCUAGUAUGUUUUAGGGAGAGUGUGUUGCUUGGAUUCCUGGUGGUUACAUUAUUCCUGUGUCUGGAAAUAAUGUUUGAGCAGUAUGUUUUUCUAACACGAUAGCUAGGUUUGGCAUGUGUAGGUGAUGGUUAGCAGCGUUUGUGCCUAUCCGUCAAAUCAGAGAAAUACAAGGAAAGAAGAAACCGUGUUUGAAUUAAAUUCGUGUGUCUACACCUGUAUUUGGCUUGCUACACGUUCUUAUGUUCUGUGGGCUAAAGUCCAACUCGUGUAGACCUCACCCCAAAGUUUUCAUUUGGUUUUCUUUAUCCUUGGCAUUGGUGGUUGUGUUCGCAAUGAAGCGCGCAUUGUGUUUACCUUGCUAGUCUUUUGGUAGCCUUAAAAAUAAGCCUUCCCACGAAAAAAUGAAAAAAAUAAGCCGUCUCCUUCUCAUCUUUUCUCACAAGCUGUUCUUAUAAUUCAUUGGGGCUUUCAAACUAAUUAUGGAUAACUAAUUAAAAAUUUCGAAAAACUUAGAAACCUGUUACCUUUUAAGCCGGGGAGAGGCAGCUGAUUUUUUAAGCCGUCCAAAAAAACAGACCAUAAUUUAUAUGGUUCCAUAUGACGAUUGUUAUUUUAUUUAUUCCCCCCCAUUUUUGGUAAGUGGAUUGUUAUAUUUUGAUAUUGAAAUGACAAUGAUGUGCUUUAAAAAUAUGACAGUUGCGUAUAACCAUGAUAAAGUGUCAUCCAAAAAAAGUACAAAUAUCUUCACGUCAUUUCUCAUGAAAUCAAAGUAAGAAAGAGACCUGCUGCUCUCACGAACCUACCUUUAGAGACUUGUUAACAUCAUAAAAAAUCUGAUAAAUAAAAUAUUCAUGUAGUGCCUACACGUGCUACUCUGAAUAGCGACCAAUCAUACAUAUCCAUUAACUACGCGGCCUAUUGGUAUUUAUUUAGGACAGUAAAAGUGCACCUAAUCCCAUGCCUCAUAUGAAAUCAGCAACCAGCGGCAUUCUUUUUCAUGAUUUAGCAAUUUUUGGCCAUCCGAUCUCCAUUAGGCUACUUAUAAUGGGGAGUAUCAUGUACUAGUAUCAUGCAUAUGAUACUAUUGUAUGAUACUAUCUUCAUAGUGCAUAAUAUCAUAACUAGUAUCAUAGAUAGUCUCAUUUAUUGACAUGCAAGACACAUAGUAGCAUAACAUUUAACAUGAUACGGUAUCUACUUAUGUUACUCUAACCCUCUUUUUUUUUUUAAUUAUGUACCACGUUAGCAUGUUUGCUAGUUCCAAGAAUAUGAUACUAGCUAUGGUACCUUCACUAUGGCCAGCCUUAGGCUGGCCAUAGUGAAGAGUAUCAUAUAGUAGUAUCAUGCAUAUGAUAUUAUUGUAUGGUAACAUAAACUAGUAUCAUAGAUGACCUUAUUUAUUGACAUACAUGACACAUAGUAGCAUAGCAUUUAACAUGUUACGGUAUCUACCUAUGUUACUCUAACCCUUUCUUUCUUCUUUAAUUGUCUGCCACAUCAGCAUGUUUGCUAAUCCCAAUUAUAUGAUACUACCUAAAUUACUCCCACUAUGGCCAUCCUUAGCGUGCCGUUCCCCUCGUCUUACAGCAAGUGGGACAUCUGUCCUAUAAAACAUGUCGGUCGUCAUUGAUUGGAUUGCUAACGCCAUGAAAUACUCACUUCUAUAAUUUGUUAGUUUACUCUCGCUUUUUCCUAGUCGGUUGAGAAAUAGUAAUUUUUUAACACCGCUACAAUACAAUGUCAGAUAUUCUAACAUGACAAAUCGAACGUAUCUUAUGGUAAAUAACUUGUCACGAGGCUGCCAAUUUCCUUUAUCAAGUAUGAAUUUUUUUGGCAUGUUCAACAUUUUUGCCAGGAUUUGUCAUGCUUGCUGAAGGGAAUUGUCAUGCUCACGACAUGUAAUUGGCCAUAAAAAUAUAUUCAAUUAAAUUCGGAAAAAUGUGAAAAUCAGUGUUAACUCUAGGACUUGAACCCUCAUGGAGGGAGGAUAUCACUAUCAUCCUAACCAUCCAACCAGAGAUUGGUUUACAUAAAACUCCCGUUAAAAAUGACAUAAGUAGUCAGAAUCAGCAUUAAAAGGUUGCCAGUAUUAAUACAUUUAUUGUUUUAAUUAUUCACAGAGACCAAUCAGCACAGAGACCAAUCAGCUUGAAGCCACCGUCUAGGCAACACAUGUUGCUACUCCUAUCCUUUGAUGAAGGUGUGCCGAAUAUCCGGGUCAAAUACCAAACAGAUAACGCACCAAAUCCUAACAUAUGUCUUUCGUCUAAUAUCAAGGGUGACAUUGAACAAAACCUCUAGGAUCCUCUAAAGUGAUAUUUUUCUUCUUUCUUCUCCUCUUACUUUGUACCACUAAAGAAGAAUUUCCAUUAAGUCUGGGACAACGUAGAGGCUGGAUAUUGCAGGGACACCUGACUUAGCUGUGAUUCUUUCUCUCCCAUAUUAAAAAUAGCUUCCUCUUUGAUUUCAUUUUUGCUUAAUGGCAUAAGGUUUAUCUAACUAUUUUGGGGUCAAGUCUAUGAUGCAAAGGCCAGAAGAAAUAAAGUGUUCCCUUAUCACAACCUCCCAACUUAUAUGGACUAAUGGUGGGUGAUGUAUAAAAUGGCUGAUUUGAAAAUAAACUUAACAAUUUCCCACAUAACUCAUAGAGAUCGAAACAGUUUAAAAGGGAAAGGACUUCUAGCAAACUAACAGCACUUUAUAGUAUAUAUAUGUGCGUAAAAUUUAACACGUUAGUUACUAAUUUAAUUUGUAUAUGCUAUGUCGUUUUCGGUAUCCGCGCACACUUGUAUGUAUAAAAAGCCGACUUGUGUUCUGCUUCAGAAAACUCCAUUAAGCGCCGCAUUGGACCAGCCUAGAGCGCUGUUGUGUUGUGGACGACCCCAAUGGCCGUGAGGAUCUUGGUAGUCUUGCUUAUCUGUCUGUUCGUGGGACUAACGGCACAUGGGAAGGAAGCCCUGCCGGUUGUGCCGGGGAUCAUGUUCUUCGGCGACUCGUUGCUCAGCAUAGGUAGCAAUAAUUAUAUAAAAACCGUGGUGAAAGCAAACGUGGCUCCCUACGGCAGGGACUUCAAAGACCAUGUGGCUACAGGGAGGUUUAGCAAUGGAAAAGUUCUUAGCGAUUUCAUAGGUUGGUCACAAUCUUAUUUGUUUUCUAUGGAAUUAUUUGUUUGUAUUUGUAUCGAUGUGUUUGACGUUUCGCAAGAACUCUUGGCAGUGUUAAUGACAUGUAUAUCUUGUGUUACAACUUGCAUGGUACGUGGCAGGCGAAAAGCUAGGGUUUGAUGGGUCUCCUCCUGCAUACCUCAGCCCGGAGGCAUCUCGACUGAAUCUUUUGAUUGGAGCCAACUUUGCAUCAGCUGGAUCGGGCUACUACGAUGACACAGCACGUAUAUAUGUAAGUACAGUACCAUACUUUGGAGUAUAUGUGUAUGUAUGUUGAGUCGAUCCAUCACGUACGUAUGUUUUAUCAAAUUGUGUAAGGCAGCAUGUCACCCCUUUGUCCCAACAACUGGACUACUUCAAAGAGUACCAAUCGAAGCUGGCAGUGGUUGCUGGGAGCAACCAGGUUCAGACCAUCAUCUCAGACUCACUCUACAUUAUUAGCGCUGCUUCAAAUGACUUCGGCUUCAACUACUACAUCAACCCUUUGCUCUUCUUGAGAGAGAACACGGACCAGUUCGGUGAUCGCCUCAUCCACAUCUUUAACAACACCGUGACGGUGAGCUAGAUCAAACCUGCAGCUUCCUCCUCUAUCAACAAGGAUCACAUGAUUCAUACCAUAACUUUGGUGUAGAAAAUGGAUGAUUAAUAGGUACUACUAACAUUUUGCCAUUGUAUUGACUGUAGCAACUUUAUACUUUGGGAGCACGGCGUGUCGGUGUUUUCUCGAUAGCACCGCUGGGGUGUGCUCCCUUGGCGAUCACGGUGUUUGGCCUUGGGAGAAGUGGGUGCGUGCCGAGCCUUGAUGACGACGCGCGGAGGUUUAACAGGAAGUUGGGUGCAGCUGUUGACUCACUCUCGACGCGGUACCAUGAUCUCAAGAUUGCGGUCCUGGACAUAUACACACCUUGGCACAGCCUUGCCACCUCUCCUGGGUCACAUGGUAAGAUAGAUAGAUAGAUAGGCUAGUCAGCCAUGGCAAUGCGAAAGUCCUAUUCUACUCCCGAGCUCAUUGAGCUCUGAACAGUAAAUUUGACAAAAAAUGAAAAUAUAUUAAAAAAAUUGUUGUUUUUUGAGCGCAAACAUUGACGGAAUUUCUGGAUGUUUGCAAAAUUUUGCCGUAUCCACAUUCGUGAAAGUAGUGGCAAAAAAUAAGAAAAUCAGCACUCAGAAAUGAUUUUGAAAAUAGCGCUUUUGGAACACUUUUUUUUUGCCACGGCUUCCGCAAAUGUUCUUUCAUGAUGAAAUUUUACAAGCAUCCAGAAAUUUGUCAAUGUUUUCCACAAGAAAAAACAGAAAUGUUUCAAAAAAUAUUCAAUUUCUUUCGGAAUUUACUGUUUACCUGAGCUCAUUUGAACUCUGGGUGAGAAACAUAACGUCCCUGGCAAGGUUUUUUCUUGCCCCAUCAUCCGUGCAAGUUUUUUUCCCAUUAAUUCCAGCUAAAAUUGUGUCGGUUUAUAUACGAUAUGUCAGGGUUCAUUGAGGCGAGGCACGGAUGUUGUGGUACUGGAUUAGUGGAGUUAACAUCGUUUCUUUGCAACCCUUUCUCCAUUGGGACAUGUCCAAACGCAACGACAUACGUGCAGUGGGACGCCGUCCAUCCGUCGGAGGCGGCGAACAAAGUGAUCGCAGAUUAUCUGGCCAAGGGAAUCAACAAGCUGCUUAUGUAAGCCACUUUGUGGACGACCUAUUGCUAUAGUGAUGUACUCCCUCCGUUCCUAAAUAUAAGUCUUUUAAGCAAUUUCACUACGGGUCUACAUACAAAACAAAAUGAUUGAAUCUACACUUUAAAUUAUGUCUAUAUACAUCCAUAUGUAGUCUACUAGUGAAACAUCUAGAAAGACUUAUAUUUAGGAACGGAGGGAGUACGUAGCAUUAUGUUUCCUAUGGACUAUGGAUUACCGAAUAGUAGUAUAUAUGUCUCUAUAAUAAAUAAAGAGUUAAAUACAUUACGGGCGUCUUAACUUGUCAUGUACGGUGAAUUUGGUAUCUAAAGUUGUAAAAUACACAAAAAUGGUGGUUUAACUUGUUCGGCCAUGCAAAUACGGUGCCUCCUAUCUUAUUCGAGUGUACUCCUUGUCCGUGUGGCGUGCCAGCAUGGCGGCGGCCCACGAGUCAGUGGCCAGAAGUGAACGAGUAUUUUUUUAUUUUUGUUGGGAUAAAAUUUUUAAGCUGGGACAUCCUGCUUAAUGCAAUAAAAUGCUGGUCACCGGACCAAACUAACUUAUACGUAGUAGUAUUAGCUAGAAAUGUAUGCACACCAAUUCGACGUAUGGUUCUGCAAUUCUUCAAUACCUUUUUUAUAGAAAAAAUCAAGAUCUUGUUUAGUUUUCAUGAUAUGUAAUUUUUACCAAAUAAAAAAUACAAAAAUUNNNNNNNNNNNGGGCAUUAUUGUGUAUUUUAAAUAUCUAUUCUAUUUUCAUUAUUGUGUACUUUAAAGAGGUUAAUAUGAACGUUUUCAAAAAUUUAUGUGGAUUUAGACAGUUCAACGUAUAUUGAAAAUUGUUGUGUAAAUUUAUGUAUCUUCAUGCAGAACCACAAGCACGGACAGUUAGUGUGUAUCUUCAUUGUAUUACUAUAUUUUUAAAAUACACAAUUACAGAAAAAUUGACAAACAUCUUUCAAAUAUAAGUUUAUAAAGGUAUUAAAAUAUCUUAAAGGUGUUUGUAGAAAUGCAAGAACAAUUUUACAAAAUAACAUUUCCAAUGCACGUUGAACAUUUAUAAAAAUAUAUGUUGUCAUUUUUUUGAACGCAUGACAAACAUCUUUCAAAUAUAAGUUUAUAAUUUAAUAAUACCCGUGAAACAUGUUUCAAAAGCAUUUUUUUUCAAAUGCACCAGGGCAUUCCCUAAAUCUCCCUUGAUACUAAAAUGUUUAAGAAGUAAAUUAUCUCAUUUAUUCAUCAAAUGAUGUCUUGUCUGUUGGUUAGCAGAGGUCCCUCGGUGAAUAAUAUAACCACGAGGCACGACACCACGUGAUGCCUAAAAUGGAGAAAUAAUGUUUACAUUUUUUAGAGGGUGAGAUAAAUAAAUUCGUAGGAAAAUUCCAACUAGAUGCUCUAAAUAAACAUAAAAUUUUGCUUGGUUUAUCGGCUAGAUUGCAAGUGUGGCACACGUGAGCUCCUAGCUUCGAAACUUCAAAUCCCUUUUUUCUUUUUUCUUUCUCCUUAAUAUCUCGCACGACAUCAUUAUUAUAAAUUGUAUUGUAUCUACGAUUUGCACAUACAGUCGUGCUUGGUGUAGCUGAUAUGUGGGACCCAAACCUGACAGGUUGGACCCAUUAGUAUGCAUCCGUAUGUGAUAAAAUUAUGAGUAAAUAAAUAAAAUGUGAGGGGGUUGGAUGUAAAAAUGCUCCCGAUCACUGACAUGCGGGCCGCCAUCAUACUGGCUCGCCAUGCGGGCAAGGGAUAUCCUUGGAUACUGUAUGAGGCACCGUAUUUGCACAACCGAACAAGUUAGAGCAUCACCUUUAUGAUUUUUUUAAUUUUAUGCAUUAAACUGACCGGACAUGAGAAGUUAAGGCACCCGUGGUGUAUUUAACCCAUAAAUAAACUGUGGGAUUCACGUUGGGUCCACAAAUAAAAAUAUUACUACUAGCAAAUACUUAAUUAAUAACCUAAAUAAAUAUACAACUCUGUGUGUUAGAUAUAGCAGUAUUUGAUUUCCUCAAAUAAAAUAUUUCCUCCGUGUUAAAAUGUGUGACUCAAUUUCGUAUUAACUUUGUAUUAAAGUUAGUUAGUACAAAAUUAAGUCAUUUAUUUCGAGAAACACUACAAGGAAUUUGUUCAAUCAUGACGCCCCAUUUUGGUCACUGGAAGGUCAUUGUUAUUGUUUUAUGACCAUGUUAUGACCAAAUUUGGGAGGUCAACAGUUGGUCGUCAAGAAUGAAGAAAGCUGACCUUUAUGAUAUUUUGGUCAUUAGAUCUACGACGAAAAUGUUUUGGUCGUUAAACGUAUGACCACAAUUUUGGUCAUGGCCAUGUGCCUAAACCACGUAGGAUCUUACAUGGCAAGAUGAUGUGGCACAGGUGAACCACGUAGGAUCUGACGUGUCAUGCUGAAGUGUCGCUUGUGGUGACGUGGAAUCCACAUGUGAUCUGACAUGGCAUGAUUUUCCCGGUCACUUCUACAUGGGCCAGGCCUAAUAUUUUGGCGCCAUAACCAUUUCGGCCCAAUUAUUAGGUUCAAGCCCAUUUGUUUUUACGGCCACAAUCUGUUCAACACAAUUAUUUGAUCAAAUAGUGUCCAUAAUCUAUUCGAACAAAUAAUUUGGUUUAAAUAGUCCAGUUGAAUUAGUUGUAGACCUUAAUUUGCAAUGUUCUGGUACACAAAAGCACAUUUCUAAGAUAGACCCAUCAACCAAUUAUAUAUGAACAAUUUUUUUACAAUUACAUCGUAUCACAAAAAAUACAUUAAUUUACAAUCAGCCUGGCAUGUCCCAAUGAUCAUGUUCUUGGUGAAAUCACAGUGUCAAUGACUCUGCGGGAGUACUUGGUGGUCUUCAAACUUCUAAGAGUAUUUGGACCUAUUGGAGCUGAAAACUACCUGCACAAACAAAAUUAAGGGUGCUGAAAAGAAUUAACAAACUCAAUACUAAUGAAUGAAUUAUAGUGAUAAUUUAAAAUAAUAACAAAACUAAACCAUUGGUAAUUAAACAAUCUCGUAUACAACUCACAGUCAAGCAGGACUAAAACCUGAAACUAAAUAAUAGAUAAAAACUAGACUACUUCAUGUUAUUCUCAACCAAGUCAAAAGAAAUAGAACUGUUAAUUCAAUCCAACUUUUUAGAUUUAAUUUGCUUAAAUGACAGAUUAAACGUUGAAAAGCAAGUACUAAAUCUGAAUAACAGGUAGAAAUAGAUCUACAUCCAAAUUUGUUUUAUUACUGAAUCAUAUUUUGUUGCAUAUCUAUUUUGGCUCCAUAAGGACAUCAACCUGACCUUGCAUGCUAGAAGCUGAUCUACUCUUGGACCAUGCACUUGAUAUCAACCAGAAAGCUUGGCACACGUGUCACAUAGGCUUGAAGAUUGGAUAAAAUUAGUGCUCAUAUUUUUAGGUUCUAAGUUGGAGAUGGAGCUGCUGCAAUGCUGACCCUGACCCUGGUCUUUGGUGAUUUAUGUUCUUUGCCUUAUUUGAUGAUGAUAAUUAUAUAUGUAUCUCACCUAUAUUUCUCUCCAUAACAACCCUGUCUGUGUUGAUAAUUUUUGUCUGGUGGCUGGAGAUAUGGGGAUCAAAGAUGAUUCAGUGACUCGAAGUAAUACCAAAAAAAUAACUCCAACAGUAAAAAAUCUUUCUUCCAAAUAAGUAGUAAAAAGUAGCUAAUCGCGUAUAAAUGGAUCCUCACAAAUUCUUCUAACGUUCAUUUUGCAUUAUUUAUUUUUUCCUUUCAUAUAUACUGUCAUGCAUAUCUCACACCCACCUUAAAAAGGAGUACCAAAUCAAGGUGAAGGACUGGGGGUGGGUGCUAUACUGUUUGCAGCUAACCUGGGGGCUUACAUAUAUGUUCAAUAAACUAAGGAGACGAUCAUGUUGUAAAAACUAGCACCCUGGACGCAAGAGAGAAAUUGUGAAGACUUCUUCAAAUAAUAAUAAUAGUGAUGCACGACAAGUGGGAAUUAACCUUCUUUCAAAAUAGUCAAAGUAUCAUGUGUAAGUAUAACGUGGAUGCCAUGAAGAACUGUGUUCAUAUAUAGGAAGGUGGAUCAUGUGAUAGCACAACAUUACUGUGAUAGGUAGUAUAAAGACAAAAUAAGAAAGUGUGCAUGUUAUUCUUAAAAACAUGCAAUGAAACUUAAGUUAGUACUUAAAGUUUAGCAAGAAAUCUUCGGGGGAAUAUAUGUCUCAGUAUCUGCUCAUAUAAUAAGUAAGAGAGUGUACAACUGUACAUUGCUACUUUUAAGUGUGUUUUUGUUCACAUGAUUUAUAAACUAAUCAGACAUUCGUAUCAAAGAGCCUGGUACUGACAUAAAUUUUCUAUACCAAUCUAGGAAGCUUGAUGGUUAGUGCAUGGUGCAUUUAUGCUCACCACAUUUUUCUCAUGAUGCCUAUUCACAAGGCGAAGUGUUCUGUCAAUAAGAUUAUGAUCAGAUCAUGCAAUAUACUUUAUAUGCAGUGACAUCACUCAGUAGACUACUACAUUAUUAAGAUUCUGAUAAGGUAUACUGUUUGUUAAUUAGUACUACAACAAUAACUUUGUAAGAGCUAAAAUUUUUAAUAUCUGAGCCAACAACAGAAAGACAAUUCUUUAUAUUAGUUGAAUCAUCAAAUUGUAUGUGUAAUGACUAACGUUGGGUGUUUUAUGUAAUGUAAAUCAUAUCUAUCAUUCUUGGCACGACUUUGGUAUUAUUUCAUGGCAUAGUACUAUAACAUUAUCAUUAGUUUUUGCGCAUAUAUUAUAUGAUAUUGUUACUUUAAAAAUGUAACACAGAUGGUAGAGAAAAUCACACAGAGCAAAGCAACAUAGACUUAAAAAAACAUCUAUCAUGGACUUCAAAGAAAAGGAAACAUCAGCCAAGGCGCAGCAGACGCUAACGUUAGAUGAUGCUCGGGUACAUGAACACCCUGACCUUGCGGCCCUACACACAACGCAAAAACGACAAAUAGCCUCAACAAAAAUCAACAGCAAGUAAGCAAGCACCGCACUGAAAACCAAGGGCGGCAACUCACCAUGGACUUGGCGGGGAGGUUGGACUUCAACUAGGCGCGGACGACGCCGGAGUUGACUGAUAAGUUGACUGAGGAAGAAGAGGCCCCGCUUAACAAUUCCCUUUGCACUAAAUGAAAGAAGCAAACCUAAAAGGCUAUAAUUAAGGCCUAAAAUUGCAGUGCAAGGCAGGUCUGAAGCAGCCCACGACGAGUAUGUAGUUAAAAACUUCAAAUCAAUCUCGCAUGCAUUUGUAUUGCUUGUCGUCAGUUCCUAAACACCUAGACUAUCAUCCGAAUCCAAGUGUUCAGUUGGAUGCUAAAUAAAUCCGAGAAACUUAUACUGGUCGUUUAGCAAACAAAAAUGCCACUACGAAAUAGGAGAGGAAGCAUGCAUCAUCACCUAGGCGGCUGGGGCGUCACGGCGUCAUGCGCAGUGACGGAGGUGGAGCCGCCGGGCGGCCGGGGGAGGGCUCCAUGCAGGUCAUCUGGACGACGGCGCUGUCGUCGGACCCCCACGGGACGGUACCUGCGUCCAACGGGCGGCGCCGGCAUCGGCAGCCCCUCCUCCGCGGCCUCGAUCUCCCCGUUCUCCAUCGCGGCUCGCUGCAUCACACGUAAUCUUGCCGCCGUACCAGGCCACGUCCUCCCUGGUGUUCACCCCCUCGAUCUGCACCAGCGACGCCGUCUCGUACUGGUUCGUGUUGGACCUGCGCGUCGCCAAACCAAACCCACGGAUUCAGAGACACGCGCGAGGGGGGAAGAACGAAACCGCGAUGGCGGAGGGAGCUGCUCACCUCUUGUAUCCUAAGAUGGUGCCGCACACGUAGAGCCUCACGCGCUGGCCGGUGCAUCCCUUCACCAUCUUACUGCGGCGGCGGCGCUGGGGAGGAGGGGUGGGGUGAGGGGGGAGAAGGCCGACGCAAUCAGGAAGCAGAGAGAAAACCCUAGCAGGCGGCGCUCGUGGUGGCUUAUGUAUCCCUCUGUGUGGAAGUGGAUGGUAGGGAUUUGUUGGUGAGGGUUUGUAUGGACGGCGGUGAUUUGCUUUUGGGGGAGAUUGCGGAGCUGAGGUGGGCGGGCCUGUUAUUGUAGGUGGGUCGCUAACAGUUUAGCGAAUUUGGAUGGGUUGAUCGAAGUCCGAGUUCAGGGCGUAAGCGGUGCCAAGAAAUGAAUACGCUUCCAUUCAUGUCUUCUCAAUGUCCUGUUUUAAUUGACCUGCUUAUAGUUCUAAAAGAAUAUCUGAUUAUAUGGGGUAUAUAUUUAUUGCAAAAUCGAUUUGUACUUGAUUGAUUUAACAAUAAUGCAUACACAAUCCAAACUUCUUAAGUUAUUGUUUUUAUUUAAUGCAUAUAGUAGUAGAAUUUCUACAAAAAGGAAGGUUUGCACGAACAAAUGAAUUAGUGAAAUUGGUAUUACCAUUAAGAAGAAGAAAAAUGAGAUGAAAAAUAAAACAGAAAAAAUAAGCUUCUCGAGGAAAAAUGAACUAGUGACAUUGCUAUUAGCCUUUUUAAAAAGGAAAUCAAAAUAAUGACAAAAAUUAAACAAAUUUACAUAUAAAUUGCGCUUUUUAUAAUAUACAAAAAUAAGUAUACAAUCGUAUAAAUUUCGCAAAAUAUGAAGUUUUGUAAAAGAAUUAAUUAGUGGCAAAAAUGCAGCUCAUUAGGAGAUGCCUAGCUAGUACUUCCUUCACAAAGAUUCUAGGUGAACAGAACUUUGGAAUUUUGCUACGAACGAUUUAAUUGGCAAAUAGAGCUAAUUUUUUUCAUCAGACAGUGAUUUGGGCAGGAAAGAGUGCCAAAAAUAUUGAGGGCAAUCAAGAAAUUAUAAAUUCUGACCUGUCAACAUACUCAUACUUUGUGGCCUUGUCGACACCUAUACAAGACACGUACGCGAAAUUGUCGAGUUGUCUGCCCAGUCACUUCAAUUUAAGCCUAUGACCUUAUUAAUUUUGUCAAGGAGGACCUACAAUACGGACAUAAACAGAGCUACACAUGCCAAUGACCAUUUUGUGCAAUGGGCUUAUGACCUUCUUGAUAGAGAUGGUCAAAAAUUUAUAGGGUUUGGAACUUCUUAGACACCUCAUGACCUUUUUGUAAAUUUUAGUCAUAGAUCUAUGACCAAUUCGACCCGUCAUUAUUUUUUGUCAUAAACGAGCGUAUUUCUUGUAGUGAAAGGGGAGUAAAAGAUAACAUGCGGAUGGCAUGCACUUUGAAGUUCAUAGCAAAUAUCUUUUGUCCCAUUCAUGGCAUUUUUCGAAGGAUUCACCCACGGCAACUCGCCUAGAUGGUUAAUUUACUAUAUCUGAAGUGGUUGUCAUGUGACAGUUUUCUGUUGAAAUUAAACAGUGGCAACUGUAUGGAUAGUGAGUGUGCGUUGACGUGGAUGGAGUGAAUUGGACCAGAGAUAAAAAUGGCUUGUGCGGUGCAUUCACUCUAGCGUCUUUGCUUUUAUUCAGCCAACUGUGAAGAUAUCAGUUCAAUCGCUUUCUUGUUUUCCUUUUGUGUGUUGACGUGGUGCAUGUGCUGGUUACACCGAAAGGUUGGUCCUCUCCUAGCUGAUGUCCAUCAAAGAGGGAUAAUUUCAUCGUCCUUUUUUUUAAAAGGGGAAUAUAAUAAUAUCGAAAAGAUAUCGAUUACACCCAACUUCUGCAUCAACGAGAUGUCGAAAGACAAUCAGGAUGCACACAGCCAAAAACGAAAUAAAAAAGAGAGAAAUAUAAAACAAAGACCACGUCGUAGUGAUCAAACACUCGCAGCAGCAACACCCUAACCACCACCGAAGACAACACUUGGACCGCAAAAGAGAUUCUUCAUAAGUGACGCCGUCAAGAAGGAAACAAUGCACAAGCAUUGUCGUCGCCCCGAUCAAGGAUCUUGAGUUUUCACCCUAAAAAAAAGUCUGAGAUCCCUAAAACAAUGUCUUCAGCAAGGCCAUUGCCAGGUACAACCAAUAAAGGUCAGACCUUGGACUUUCACCGUGGAAAUCAUGACUCGGUACUUGAGAAGCACCACCAAAAUUGCUUUCCACCAGUAUUGCCACCCCCUCCUGCCAAGGCCGCUGUUGCAAGUACUCGACACCCGACACCUAGGAAAAACAUGUGUUGCAAGUCUUCAUCGUUGUCAAAACUCCUUUCCGCCAUUACAAGCUUCCAAUCACAACCACCUUCACUUUCUUCAACAUUGUCCAUGCAUGGAAAUCUAUAUUUAGACAUGUCCCAUCGCACUGGAAAGAUAGCAAAGCUUCGCGCCACGCCCUUAUAAAACCUAGCAACAAUGAGUCACGAAAUGACAUCAAAUGUACUUGAAGUUGGUUUGAAUCAAGCUUUUCAUUCUAUUAUUUGAAAUAUCUACCAGGAAUGUCUGCAACGUGCCACCAUGUGGAUGUUUCUUGGCAUCGAUUCAACAACAUGGACCUAGCAACAAUGAGUCACGGUAGCAAACUGGUUCCGGAGAGAAUUAGUGUAAUGCAUUUCUAUUUUUCUGCAGUUGUUCACAGAUCUAUUUCUCUCCUCUUAAUUGUGAAUAACAUGCCAAAUUCGCCUUUAAUAGUAGAUAU
Molecule: long non-coding RNA, 22064 nt
Filed under: Hordeum vulgare
Lineage: Eukaryota; Viridiplantae; Streptophyta; Magnoliopsida; Poales; Poaceae
Description: long non-coding RNA (HVUL_LNC002537)
Source: RNAcentral